This 737-nucleotide long non-coding RNA is filed under the name Olea europaea subsp. europaea. The record is from RNAcentral. Lineage: Eukaryota; Viridiplantae; Streptophyta; Magnoliopsida; Lamiales; Oleaceae.
CUUCAUUUGGCUUUGUUCAACUUUUCAUUAUUUUUUCAACACUCAACAUUGCUCCUUUCGAUACAAUAGGACUUGCAUAUUCCAUCCAAUACAAUUCAACUAUGCAAGCUUCCACUUCCUCAUUGGAUUUAAUCACAAAAAUAAAUUCUUGGCAAUCAACUAAGUCUGAAGAGUGUAAGUUGAUUUUCUCCUCAUUGAUUGCCACAUCUUCAUUUAGAUCUGUUGUUAUUAAUUUUUCAUUUUCUUCAAGUUCUUCUUCAAUACUUGACUCAUUUUCGGAUUAAAUGAUCAAUCUGCCAUCAAACUCCACGAGCAAUGGCAAGUCUUUCACAUUAACUCCUUCAAGAUGAUUGUACCCCACCUUUGAAAUCUAUUCCAAUAUCUAUAAUCUCCCACAAGUAUGUCUUCUUCAUCCAACUUGUAAAGUUAAUGGUAAUACUUUGCAAGUACUUGCUCGUUCAAUAAAGGAGGACCAUCUCCCGAGAAUUUGAUGUCCUCAUUCCAAUCAUCAGGUACAUAAUCUUCUGUGAGCAUGUAACUUUCAUCAAAAUUGUCCAGUACUUGUUUUUGAUAUUUUAAAUAUUGUCUAAACUAAAUAAGUUUCAACAUUAGUGCAUCAAUGUACAAAUACAAGCAUUGGCCUAUGCAGUGCAUCAUUUAACAAAUUUCACAUCUUGGAUCACCUGCAAACAUAUAUCCAUAAUCAAUGUUGAGAGUUUUCAUUGCAACAAUUUGUU